This 576-nucleotide ribosomal RNA is filed under the name uncultured Chloroflexota bacterium. RNAcentral describes it as "bacterial SSU rRNA". It matches the Rfam family "Bacterial small subunit ribosomal RNA", at positions 323 to 916 of the family's 1533-position model. The record is from RNAcentral. Lineage: Bacteria; Bacillati; Chloroflexota.
CNGCAGUCGACGAUUCCUACGGGAGGCAGCAGUGAGGAAUAUUGGACAAUCAGCGAAAGCUGGAUCCAGCAACGCCGCGUGGACGAUGAAGGCCUUCGGGUUGUAAAGUCCUUUUCAGAGGGAAGAGGAAGGACGGUACCUCUGGAAUAAGUCUCGGCUAACUACGUGCCAGCAGCCGCGGUAACACGUAGGAGGCAAGCGUUAUCCGGAUUCAUUGGGCGUAAAGCGCACGCAGGCGGCUAGGUAAGUCGGGUGUGAAAGCCCCGGACUUAAUCCGGGGAGGUCAUUCGAUACUGCUUGGCUUGAGAGCGGGAGAGGGAAGUGGAAUUCUCGGUGUAGUGGUGAUAUGCGUAGAUAUCGAGAGGAACACCAGUGGCGAAGGCGGCUUCCUGGCCCGUUUCUGACGCUAAGGUGCGAAAGCGUGGGGAGCAAACGGACUUAGAUACUCCGGUAGUCCACGCCGUAAACGAUGAAUGUUAGCCGUCGGGUAGCAUGCUAUUCGGUGGCGCAGCUAACGCAUUAAACAUUCCGCCUGGGGAGUACGGUCGCAAGAUUAAAACUCAAAGGAAUUGACGG